This 1925-nucleotide ribosomal RNA is filed under the name human gut metagenome. RNAcentral describes it as "bacterial LSU rRNA". It matches the Rfam family "Bacterial large subunit ribosomal RNA", at positions 3 to 1973 of the family's 2925-position model. The record is from RNAcentral.
UCAAGCGACUAAGUGUAUGUGGUGGAUGCCUUGGCGAUCACAGGCGAUGAAGGACGUGACAGCCUGCGAAAAGCUGUGGGGAGCUGGCAAAUAAGCUUUGAUCCACAGAUGUCCGAAUGAGGGAACUCACCUGCUUUGCAGGUAUCCCAUCCUGAAUAUAUAGGGAUGGGAGGCGAACGAAGCGAACUGAAACAUCUAAGUAGCUUCAGGAAAAGAAAUCAACCGAGAUUCCGAAAGUAGCGGCGAGCGAAAUCGGAUCAGCCCAGCACUCGAUAGCAGCCAACUUACGGGAACGGUCUGGAAAGUCCGGCCAUAGAGGGUGAUAGCCCCUUACUGGAAAAGGCAGCUGUGGUACUAAGUGUGCGAUAAGUAGAGCGGGACACGUGACAUCCUGCUCGAAGAUGGGGGGACCAUCCUCCAAGGCUAAAUACUCGUGAUCGACCGAUAGCGUACCAGUACUGUGAAGGAAAGGUUAAAAGAACCCCGGGAGGGGAGUGAAAUAGAUCCUGAAACCGCAUACAUACAAACAGUAGGAGCCUCGUUAAGGGGUGACUGCGUACCUUUUGCAUAAUGGGUCAGCGACUUACGUUUAAUGGCGAGCUUAACCGUAUAGGGGAGGCGCAGCGAAAGCGAGUUCGAACAGAGCGUUCAGUCGUUAGGCGUAGACCCGAAACCAGAUGAUCUAUCCAUGGCCAGGUUGAAGGUGUGGUAACACACACUGGAGGACCGAACCGACUAGUGUUGCAAAAUUAGCGGAUGAGCUGUGGAUAGGGGUGAAAGGCUAAACAAAUCUGGAGAUAGCUGGUUCUCCCCGAAAACUAUUGAGGUAGUGCCUCGUGUAUGACUCCAGGGGGUAGAGCACUGUUAUGGCUAGGGGGACAUGGCGUCUUACCAAACCAUGGCAAACUCCGAAUACUUGGAAGUUUGAGCACGGGAGACAGAGCACCGGGUGCUAACGUCCGGACUCAAGAGGGAAACAACCCAGACCGCCGGCUAAGGUCCCUAAUAUUGACUAAGUGGAAAACGAAGUGGAAAGGCUAAGACAGUCAGGAAGUUGGCUUAGAAGCAGCCAUCCUUCAAAGAAAGCGUAAUAGCUCACUGAUCGAGUCUUUCUGCGCGGAAGAUGUAACGGGGCUAAGUCAAUAACCGAAGCCGCGGAUUCACACUUAUGUGUGAGUGGUAGGGGAGCGUUCUGUAAGCCUGCGAAGGUGACUCGUAAGGGUUGCUGGAGGUAUCAGAAGUGCGAAUGCUGACAUGAGUAACGUUAAAGCGGGUGAAAAGCCCGCUCGCCGUAAGCCCAAGGUUUCCUGCUCUACGUUCAUCGGAGCAGGGUGAGUCGGCCCCUAAGGUGAGGCUGAGAAGCGUAACUGAUGGGAACAAGGUUAAUAUUCCUUGACCACCGCUGAAUGCGAAGGGGGGACGGAGUAUUGAAGAUCAUCCGGGUGUUGGAUAUCCCGGUUUGCGAGCGUAGGAGGCUGACAGGCAAAUCCGUCAGCGGAUCUCCGAGGCAAAGCAUCGAGCUCUCUUUUGAGCGAAGUGAUUGGAUGUGCUUCCAGGAAAAGCCUCUAAGCUCCAGUUCAGCGGGACCGUACCGCAAACCGACACUGGUGGGCGAGCUGAAUAUGCUCAGGCGCUUGAGAGAACUCAGGAGAAGGAACUCGGCAAAUUGACCCCGUAACUUCGGGAUAAGGUGUGCCUUUGUAGCGUGGAGGGAGAAACACCCCGAGCGCGAAGAGGUCUCAGAUAAUCGGUGGCUGCGACUGUUUAUUAAAAACACAGCACUCUGCAAAGACGAAAGUCGACGUAUAGGGUGUGAUGCCUGCCCGGUGCUGGAAGAUUAAUUGAUGGGGUGCAAGCUCCUGAUCGAAGUCCCAGUAAACGGCGGCCGUAACUAUAACGGUCCUAAGGUAGCGAAAUUCCUUGUC